GGUUACUGCUAUCGGUGUUCGCCUAAGCCAUGCGAGUCAUAUGUUCGUAAGAACAUGGCGUACUGCUCAGUAACACGUGGAUAACCUGCCCUUGGGUCCGGCAUAACCCCGGGAAACUGGGGAUAAUUCCGGAUAACGCACAUAUGCUGGAAUGCUUUAUGCGUAAAAUGGAUUCGUCUGCCCAAGGAUGGGUCUGCGGCCUAUCAGGUAGUAGUGGGUGUAAUGUACCUACUAGCCUACGACGGGUACGGGUUGUGAGAGCAAGAGCCCGGAGAUGGAUUCUGAGACAUGAAUCCAGGCCCUACGGGGCGCAGCAGGCGCGAAAACUUUACAAUGCGGGAAACCGUGAUAAGGGGACACCGAGUGCCAGCAUCCUAUGCUGGCUGUCCGGGUGUGUAAAAUACACCUGUUAGCAAGGGCCGGGCAAGACCGGUGCCAGCCGCCGCGGUAACACCGGCGGCCCGAGUGGUGAUCGUGAUUAUUGGGUCUAAAGGGUCCGUAGCCGGUUUGGUCAGUCCUCCGGGAAAUCUGACAGCUUAACUGUUAGGCUUUCGGAGGAUACUGCCAGACUUGGAACCGGGAGAGGUAAGAGGUACUACAGGGGUAGGAGUGAAAUCUUGUAAUCCCUGUGGGACCACCUGUGGCGAAGGCGUCUUACCAGAACGGGUUCGACGGUGAGGGACGAAAGCUGGGGGCACGAACCGGAUUAGAUACCCGGGUAGUCCCAGCCGUAAACGAUGCUCGCUAGGUGUCAGGCAUGGCGCGACCGUGUCUGGUGCCGCAGGGAAGCCGUGAAGCGAGCCACCUGGGAAGUACGGCCGCAAGGCUGAAACUUUA
Molecule: ribosomal RNA, 837 nt
Filed under: uncultured archaeon
Lineage: Archaea
Description: bacterial SSU rRNA
Rfam family: Archaeal small subunit ribosomal RNA
Source: RNAcentral